CUGCUGCCUCCCGUAGGAGUUUGGACCGUGUCUCAGUUCCAAUGUGGGGGACCUUCCUCUCAGAACCCCUACGCAUCGUCGGCUUGGUGGGCCGUUGCCCCACCAACUACCUAAUGCGCCGCAUGCCCAUCCGUGACCGGAGUCGCCCCCUUUGGCCGGCAGGGGAUGUCCCCUCCCGGCAUUAUGUUGUAUUAGGCGGGAUUUCUCCCGGUUAUCCAUCUGUCACGGCCAGGUUGCAUACGUGUUACUCACCGUGCGCCGGUCGCCGG
Molecule: ribosomal RNA, 269 nt
Filed under: uncultured bacterium
Lineage: Bacteria
Description: partial 16S ribosomal RNA
Source: RNAcentral